Long non-coding RNA from Panicum virgatum (switchgrass), 3595 nucleotides. RefSeq lists it as uncharacterized. The transcript is spliced from 2 exons. The record is from RefSeq and is a predicted model, not a curated record. NCBI's taxonomy places the organism in Eukaryota, Viridiplantae, Streptophyta, Magnoliopsida, Poales, Poaceae.
AGGUAAUGGCUUUGGUACAGCCAGCCGUAAUUUAAUCCACUCGCACGGCCGCUUCCCAUUAACCGUUCUUGUAUCAAACGGCACACGCAUUUUCUCCUUCCAUUAUCUACUAGUCGCACAUUUUCAGAAAGGGGGACCGUGUGUCUGUUCAUUCCCCUUCUCCCCUUCUCUCUAGGGUUUGUCUCUCUCAUCUCGCAUCCACGGGCGAUUCGCGCAUCCACCGUGCGCAUUUCUGGAUCCGGGCGGGAUUGGAGGGGAGAAGAAGGAAUGCAUCGGCGAGAUUGAAGCAGGGGGAGGGGGGAGCGCAGAACCCGAUCAAGGGGAGAUUCCGGAUGCGGCGGCGAGCAACGGUGGGCUGCUUUACCACGAGGUUCAUGAGGGGAAGCCCUGCGUCGUGCACUGCGUCAACACCUCCCUGCAGGGGCCCUUCUUCUCCGUGUUCGACCUCGCCGCGCUCGCCGCCGACCUCGACCAAUGGGAGCGCCUCGUCAUCCUUGAGGGCUCCUAAAGCCUCGGCGCGGCCAAUGCUGCCGGUGGGGACUUCCUCACCAAAGGAUCCCACAACAUCUCCCUCGGAGUGACUUCACCAUCCAAGUCAGUCCAGGCCUUCCAAGCUCCUUGUAGAUUUAAUCCAGUUGUGUUUCAUAGGCUGGGUUGGUUUGACUGAUUUGUAGAUUGCAGCUUGUUCUGUGGGCUCAGUUUCUACUUGUUUGUCUAUUAAGAUAAUUAGAAUUUAGGGGAGUUUUGCUUGAGCAUUGCUGUUUGGAUCCCUUCGAUUGAUUUUGUAGUAGGUGAUUCUAGGUUUAAAGUGCCAGUGUAUACAUUAAUAAGAUGGAGACUAGAAGUGCCUAGUUUAGAAUGAAAAGAAAAUUGUCUAGACAAUGCAUUAAAUCAGGUGAUUGCCAAUGGUGGCGCCAUGUGAGGUCUGCACGUGAUAGUUAUAGGCUUUGUCCUUGAAUAUAUGAUGAUUAAUCAUGCUUUGUUGGAUACGAAUGGGACAAAGGGACUAUCAGUACUUCAUAUCUUAAACUAUCAAAGAACUGAAUUGAAAUUUGCAUGAUUCUCUACAGGCGAUUUGAUAUGGGAUUUUACUAGCAAGAAAAGCAGCUCUGUUUGAUAUUGUGUAUUCAAAGUGCCUGAUGAUUUUUUAAUGUUGCCUGACAUUUGUGUUCUAAUUAAGAUGCCUGAUGAUGUUUAUUAUUUUUCCUAAACCACAUAUCUGAUGAUGAAUGAGGCUUGAUGAAUGCUUUGUGCUUGCUAGUAAAUCGAAUGAUUGCUUGUGCUAUUUUUAAGCAGCUUUCAGAAUUGGGCUUUAUCUGUCCUGGCCUUUUUACCUCUCACCUAUUUUAGAUAAAGUGCUCUGCUUCAAUGUGGAGGUAGUUUUUAUUCACGGGAGUUUUAUACGUUGAGAAAAGCAGCUCCUCCUUAGAAUAAUAUGCUUUGCACCACAUCAGACUUUGAACCAUAUUUUUGUACAUAUGAAUACUCAAUCAGGCUUGCUUAAUCAAUAUAUUUCUGUAGCAGUUAAAAUGAGGAUAACAUGCUCCAAUGUUUGUACUACCGGAUUAUUUAUCUCAGUAGCUUUUCACUACUUUUAUGAAAGAAUUUGUGGUCAUCUCUUCACCAUAGAUUUUUUUUACUCAUAAUCACUGGUCUGCAGACAUUCCGUGAAAUAUAGAGACUACUAAGCAAAACUAAUGGCAAAGUCAUUGGUGAUGUUAUGACUUCUUCGUCUCUUGCGGUGCGUGAAAAUACUAAUCUUGAUGAUGCCACAAGGUUGCUACUUGAAACCAAAUACCGGAGAUUACCAUAUAGUUGAUAGUACAGGGAAACUAGUAAGUGGAUCCAUCCUUGUAGUUCUGGUUCCUUUUGCUUUAGAUCAAUACCCUUAACAAAAAUUUUUGAGCAUUCUUGUUUGUAACAUAUGAAAUUUCCAUUCCUGAAAUUAUGCCUUUAGGUGAUGAUAUGCCAUCUUCUUCUACUGAUUUUAGUUCUUGCAAAAUGCUAGGGUUAGGUUGUGUGGGUUUUGAUUAUUUUUGCCUGUUCAUUUGUUUUAAGUUGCUUCUAAGUUCAUUAUAGUCGUGGGGUUUUUCUCCUUGGUUGAUUAGGUUGGCUGGGAGAUUGGGUGCUGAGGUUAUGUGCCACUGCCAUGCGUAUGUGGAUCCUGACAGCUGCUGGGUAGCCAUGUUGGAUUUAGCCUCCACGCAGUUGCAUGGCUUGGGUGCCUACAGAAUAGGUUUUGCUCCUGGGAAAUUUGGACAGGUCCGAGCUUGUGGUCUUGGCUCAUGAUCCGGAGCUUGGGCCUUUGGGUUUAUAGUGCAUUAGUCAACCAAACCGUUGUUUGUUCUACAUAGUAACAAUAACAAUGAUGGUGGUGUUGUUGACGCUGUGCUUUACUACAAUUGAGUAAGGCUCCCAACUGAGCAUGCUCAUCAACUCUUCUGGGAGCUCUGUGCUCUUGUAUCAUGCAAGGCAGUAACCGCUGUUUUUACCGAGUCUAUUUUUCAAUUUCCUUUUAGAUUAAAUUUGCAUCCAUCCAUCUCCUUUUACUAGGUCUAUUCUUCUGCAUGCUUGUUAGCUUUUUUCUGUGUUAGCUUUUUUCUGUAUGGUUGUUGCCUUUUAAUAAAUUUUAAUAGGCAUUUUAAUACUAUCCUACUAGCAUUUAAAAUGUUCACAUGAAGCAAUUUAGAAAAAUUCCCGCUUUUUGCCGAUUAGUGCAUAAGCAUUGCAUGCAACUUAUGCCAAACAACUAGCAUUCUGGUAGAACUUAUAAGCAUUUAUAGGUAGUAAUUAGGCGACAAUAUUUGUUAUAGAUGGGCAAUAAUAUGGUUCCCAAUAAAUAUUUUCCUCAAAUCAACUCAACAAAAAUAUCAACACUAGGUAAGCACUUUAGGCAAAUUAUAUAUAGGAAUUAGGCAAUAAUAUUAUUAUAGAUGGGCAAUAAUAUUGUUCCAAUAAGCAUUCCCCCCAGUUCAUUGUUUGUGUCUGGUUUGCUGGUUAGUUGUACAAAUAGGCAUGAACAAGCUCACAAGUCACACAAAGGCUUGAAUUGGGGGAUUUGCUGGUUAUUAAUACUGAUUCAAUUUCUUGUUUUGCUGGUUAGCUCAUCAUCAAUUUAGGCGAUUUUGCUGGUUAUUAAUACUGAUUCAAUUCCUUUGUUUUGCUGAUUAGUUGUCCUCAUUAAUUUAGACAAUUUGCUAGGUUAUUUGUACUGAUUCAAUUCCUUGUUUUGGUGCUGUAGCAGGCUCACACAAAUCUGAUGAUGGUGUCGGUCAAUAUUUUUUUGGUGCUAGAGAAUGAGGCCUGAAGAUUUAUUUUGUUUGAAUGUUUGGAUGGGUGAAAAUUGCCUUUGUAUAUGCUUUAAUUUUCUUAGAGUUCUUCAUAAAUUUGCUUAAUUGGUCUCAAAAAGUUGCUCCAUGUAACCAUUGAGUUGAAUGACAGUAUUGGUGAAGUAGAAAUAAUAUAACGUGAGCAGAUUAGGAGGGGUGGUGGUGGUUGUAAUUCUAGUAGAUUUUUUUUGUGAUACUACCUUUUUUUAUAUACUUUUUGAUGUACCGACUCAGUGAGUUCCAAAUAUGGAAAGUAGUUUUUUUUA